Molecule: ribosomal RNA, 247 nt
Filed under: uncultured bacterium
Lineage: Bacteria
Description: partial 16S ribosomal RNA
Rfam family: Bacterial small subunit ribosomal RNA
Source: RNAcentral
UACGGGGGGGGCAAGCGUUGUUCGGAAUUACUGGGCGUAAAGGGCUCGUAGGCGGCCAACUAAGUCAGACGUGAAAUCCCUCGGCUUAACCGGGGAACUGCGUCUGAUACUGGAUGGCUUGAGUUUGGGAGAGGGAUGCGGAAUUCCAGGUGUAGCGGUGAAAUGCGUAGAUAUCUGGAGGAACACCGGUGGCGAAGGCGGCAUCCUGGACCAACACUGACGCUGAGUGAGCGAAAGCCAGGGGAGC